This 453-nucleotide long non-coding RNA is filed under the name Elaeis guineensis (African oil palm). Its description in RNAcentral is "long non-coding RNA (EGUI_LNC035864)". Lineage: Eukaryota; Viridiplantae; Streptophyta; Magnoliopsida; Arecales; Arecaceae. The record is from RNAcentral.
GUUCAAUUCUGUCUGGUAGUGAGAUAUACCAUGAUCUCUAUCAUAGUAUCAUUGAAACUCUUUUCAAUAGAUUGAAACAAUUCUAACUCACACCUAUCUAGAAUCAUCGAUCUACCAUGAUCCUAGUGAGCUCUCACAAUCCACUAGUGACAUCUAAUAAUAUGUGGUGACAAGCUAACAGAACUGAAGAGAUGAAUCUCUAGGUGCAGUUAUCAUUUGAUCUGAUUCUUCUAUCGUGAGUCUGGACAAGAUCGAGGUCAGGAUUAACUCAUCAAACCUCAUCACUAUCAUAUGAUAGAAUCAUUCGAUUCGAGUCUGAUGUGAAAUUCAAUAGAAACAUCUUUCUAUCUUUCACAGUGCCAUAGCCAUGAGCUUAUGGACUCAAUCUCAUGAUCUACAUAGGACUACUCCUCUAUCGAAGUCGAUAGAUCUCAUAUUGGUGUAACCAAAUCC